This 212-nucleotide ribosomal RNA is filed under the name uncultured bacterium. Its description in RNAcentral is "partial 16S ribosomal RNA". It matches the Rfam family "Bacterial small subunit ribosomal RNA", at positions 568 to 776 of the family's 1533-position model. The record is from RNAcentral.
UGCGUAGGUGGUCGGGUAAGUUUAAGGUGAAAGCUCCGGGCUCAACCCGGAAAUGGCCUUGAAUACUAUCCGGCUCGAGGGUUGGAGGGGGGGACGUGGAAUUCUCGGUGUAGCAGUGAAAUGCGUAGAUAUCGAGAGGAACACCAGUGGCGAAGGCGAGUCCCUGGACAACACCUGACACUGAGGCACGAAAGCUAGGGGAGGCAAAACGG